Arvicanthis niloticus (Nile rat) is the source of this 105-nucleotide non-coding RNA. The record is from RefSeq and is a predicted model, not a curated record. NCBI's taxonomy places the organism in Eukaryota, Metazoa, Chordata, Mammalia, Rodentia, Muridae.
AUAAUAAUAAAAAGUAUAUAAGCUACAAUUGGAGUGGUAGAGAAAAGAUUAGCAUGACACCUGUGCAAAGAUGAUAUGCAAAUCCAUAAACUCUUCAUAAUGUUG